GGGCAGGCCAACAUGCCAGUCGAGCGAAGAGCUGAUGACAGAUACUUCUGGUUGAAGGAGUCAGUGGAAAGCGGCGGCCUUGUGAGUAACGCGUAGGCAACCUGCCCUUUGCACAGGGAUAUCCAUUGGAAACGAUGAUUAAAACCUGAUAACACCAUUUGGUUACAUGAGCAGAUGGUCAAAGAUUUAUCGGCAGAGGAUGGGCCUGCGUCUGAUUAGCUAGUUGGUAAGGUAACGGCUUACCAAGGCGACGAUCAGUAGCCGACCUGAGAGGGUGAACGGCCACAUUGGAACCGAGACACGGUCCAAACUCCUACGGGAGGCAGCAGUGGGGAAUAUUGCACAAUGGGCGAAAGCCUGAUGCAGCAACGCCGCGUGAAGGAAGAAGGCCUUCGGGUCGUAAACUUCUGUCCUUGGGGAAGAAGAACUGACGGUACCCAAGGAGGAAGCCCCGGCUAACUACGUGCCAGCAGCCGCGGUAAUACGUAGGGGGCAAGCGUUAUCCGGAAUUAUUGGGCGUAGAGAGUACGUAGGUGGCAACCUAAGCGCAGGGUUUAAGGCAAUGGCUCAACCAUUGUUCGCCCUGCGAACUGGGAUGCUUGAGUGCAGGAGAGCAAAGCGGAAUUCCUAGUGUAGCGGUCCAAUGCGUAGAUAUUAUGGGGAACACCAGUGGCGAAGGCGGCUUUCUGGACUGUAACUGACACUGAGGUACGAAAGCGUGGGGAAGCAACAGGAUUAGAUACCCUGGUA
This 750-nucleotide ribosomal RNA is filed under the name uncultured bacterium. Its description in RNAcentral is "bacterial SSU rRNA". It matches the Rfam family "Bacterial small subunit ribosomal RNA", at positions 44 to 792 of the family's 1533-position model. The record is from RNAcentral.